CGGCAACGGAUAUCUCGGCUCUCGCAUCGAUGAAGAACGUAGCGAAAUGCGAUACUUGGUGUGAAUUGCAGAAUCCCGUGAACCAUCGAGUCUUUGAACGCAAGUUGCGCCCGAAGCCACCAGGCCGAGGGCACGCCUGCCUGGGCGUCACACGCCGUUGCCCUCC
This 166-nucleotide ribosomal RNA is filed under the name Malus toringoides. Its description in RNAcentral is "5.8S ribosomal RNA". The stretch from base 3 to 150 matches the Rfam family "5.8S ribosomal RNA". Rfam says of the family: 5.8S ribosomal RNA (5.8S rRNA) is a component of the large subunit of the eukaryotic ribosome. It is transcribed by RNA polymerase I as part of the 45S precursor that also contains 18S and 28S rRNA. Lineage: Eukaryota; Viridiplantae; Streptophyta; Magnoliopsida; Rosales; Rosaceae. The record is from RNAcentral.